AGAGCGAACGCUGGCGGCAGGCUUAACACAUGCAAGUCGAGCGGGCGUAGCAAUACGUCAGCGGCAGACGGGUGAGUAACGCGUGGGAACGUACCUUUUGGUUCGGAACAACCCAGGGAAACUUGGGCUAAUACCGGAUAAGCCCUUACGGGGAAAGAUUUAUCGCCGAAAGAUCGGCCCGCGUCUGAUUAGCUAGUUGGUGAGGUAAUGGCUCACCAAGGCGACGAUCAGUAGCUGGUCUGAGAGGAUGAUCAGCCACAUUGGGACUGAGACACGGCCCAAAACUCCUACGGGAGGCAGCAGUGGGGAAUAUGGACAAUGGCGGCAAGCCUGAUCCAGCCAUGCCGCGUGAGUGAUGAAGGCCCUAGGGUUGUAAAAGCUCUUUUGUAGCGGGAAGAUAAUGACGGUACCGCAAGAAUAAGCCCCGGCUAACUUCGCGUCAGCAGCCGC
This 450-nucleotide ribosomal RNA is filed under the name uncultured bacterium. Its description in RNAcentral is "SSU rRNA". It matches the Rfam family "Bacterial small subunit ribosomal RNA", at positions 26 to 518 of the family's 1533-position model. The record is from RNAcentral.